Molecule: long non-coding RNA, 1837 nt
Organism: Mus musculus (house mouse)
Lineage: Eukaryota; Metazoa; Chordata; Mammalia; Rodentia; Muridae
Product: predicted gene, 26721
Exons: 4
Source: RefSeq, marked validated
AGCUGCGACAGGGCCAGAUGCACUCGAGGCACGCAAAUUUCGGUCCGGAUUCUUCCAAGGGAGAUGGAGUAAUGCGUCAGGCCUGUGCGGUGGCAACAAAAAAGACCUGGACCAGAGCGUCUCCCACCCGGGAUUGCAGGAGGGCCGGAGGGAGUGCUGCUUAGUGACUGACAAGAGCGUAGGCUGUCCCCCAUCUUCCUAACAGCGACGUGGGGUGGGGAGGGACAAAAUGAGGGCUGGACUGAGGUAUGGAAGGAUCCCGCGCGCUGGCUGCAACAGAGCCGGCAGGUAAAAGCAGUAUCUGGAUCCUGGGUGAUGCGACAGGAAGGGGAUGUGGUGUGGAUCCCGCUACCCUGGGAGACCAGACCUACAAUAAAAAAAUAAAUAAAUAAAUUAAUUAAAAAAAAAAACGAGGGAGGGACGCAAAGCCAGGACUGGAGCGUAGGUAGGAUGGGAUGAGAACAGCCCCCCUCCCCCAAACAGAAGAGAGAGCCUUGGCAACCGGACAGGGUCCUGGAGCUGACCAGGCUGCAGGAGCGGAGGAGAGGGCUGCAACCAAGGCUUUGCAUAGAUGCUACUGUCUCAUUCUGCAGCAGUCUGGCCUGGAACUACAGAACCCAGGCUGGACUCAAAUUAAUGGCAAUUCUCCUGCCUCAGCCUCCUGAAUUCUAGGACAUCAGGAGUGUGCACAGCACCCACGUGGAAGUCAGAGAAGAGUGCUUGGCAGUGGCGCAGUGGCUCUCUCCUUGGGUCUUCACCUUCUGAAGGGCGUGCUCCAGGAACUUGAACUCAGAACUCAGGAUUGGCAGCAAGUGUUCAGCCAUUUUGAUGACCCCAUUGGUUUUUGGUUUUUUUUUUGUUUUGUUUUUGUUUUUUCUAAGAUAGGGUUUCUCUGUGUAGCCCUGGCUGUCCUGGAACUCGGUCUGUAGACCAGGCUGGCCUCGAACUCAGAAAUCUGCCUGCCUCUGCCUCCCAAGUGCUGGGAUUAAAGGCCUGUGCCACCAUGCCCAGCUUGACCCCAUUGUUUUUAUGUGUUUAAUUUUCUUUUUAAACAUGGCCUUACUAUGUAACCCUGACUAGCUUGAAACUUGCUAUGUAGAACAGGCUGGUCUUGAACUCACAGAGAUCCACCUGCCUCUGGAUGAAGUGGAAAUUUCUGGUUUCUUUAGCAACUCCCUUGUAUCGUGUGAUGUUUUCCUGGACGUUGUCUUCUGAGAGGGCGUGUGAUGUUUUGCUGCAGACACUUGAGAGGGCUUGUGAUGUUUAGAAAGAAUAUAAAUGGAACCCCACAAACUGUGGGGAGACGCUCUUGCAUUGAUACACUGUACAAUGCUUCGCUGGUCUUCACUUCAUAGAGAGAAACGCAUCAAAGAACUUCUCCUGGUAUUCUGGCUGAUGCCGGUCGCUUCUGCUGACUCAGGGAUGUAGCAGACCCUUGCGGCUUCUGCUGGAUUGAGCUGCCACUACUGAUUCAUGUUUGGUGUUUGCUGUUGGACCGGACUGCUGGUAUCCUGACAACAAAGAGAAGAAUCACCCCAAGAAGCUACUUCUAGUCCGGUCCACCCGUUUCCAAUUAACCUUCUUUUUCCACUUUGUCUGGUUGGUAAGUUAGAAGAGCGGUUGAAGAGUUUAAGAACCUUAAAUAAGGGGGCUCAAGAGAUGGCUCAUCAGUUAGGAUUACUGACUGCUCUUCCAGAAAUCCCAGGUUCAAUUCCCAGCAACCACAUGGUAGUUCACAACCAUCUGUACUGGGAUCGGAUGCCCUCUUUUGGUGUUUCUGAAGACACCAACAAUGUACUCACAUAAAAUAGAAUAAAUAAAUCUUAAAACAAACAAA